GUGGGAGGAAGAGAGGCAUGCGCUAUAGAUGUAGGCGAACAAUGGUCCUUGGAAAUUAUUAGUACUCUACAAAAUGUCUGUCCCCUAUGAUGCCUACAAUGAGCGAUAGAGGGUGGAAGGAAGGGAGAGCGGAGGAAGGAAGAUGGGGAUAUAUGUAGAGAGAGGGAGAUAGGAGGAAGGGAGAUGGGCAUAUAUGUAUAGAGAGGAAGAUCAGAGAGGGAGGGGAGAUUUACAGGACGAUUGUCGUUGAGCCACUCAAAUAGUCAAAUAUGUAUGUCUCUGUUGCAUCGCACGGGCAAUUAACUAUAGAAAAAAUCAAGGCUAUUUUUAAAGUGACAUUUAUUCAGCGUGUUCCAACCUUUACAUGCCUUAAUUAUAGAAUAAUCUAAUAUUAUGAUUUCUCCAGUAAGCAGUAUACUAUAUACUUAACUGGGACUUUGAAUUUGUGCUUUAGGAAAAUUUGAAUAGACCUCGUCCACGCCGAUAAUUUCCUGGUACAUCAGGUUGAACAAUUUUGUUUAUGUUGUGAGUGGUCAAUAUUCCUUACCGCUGGCCACAUAUCUCACUUGUGCUGGUCCCCUAGAAUAUGCUAAUGUUUAGUUUCCAAUUUUUCAACUAUCAAAUAUCAGUGGACUUUACAUGGUUUCUUGCAAAAAAAAAGACUCAUAUGGCCCGAGUUUGUUUGCUCAGGAGCAUUCUUUCAUAGAUUAUAAUAGUCAGUGGCUUAAAAGUAUUGUCAUUGCUACAAACAUAAAACUGAUGAAAGAAGAACAUAUUUGUACCUUAUUGCCGGCUGACUAUACACACAAGAACCUCGACACUCUCAUUACUGUGUUAUAUAUUUAGUUGCAAUAGUAUUUGAUUUUUCAUGAAGCAAUAUGCUUACUGUUUCUUCAUUCAGUUUCGUGUUUCAAUGACGCGUGGAGGACGACGGUCACGAGCGCAUUGUCGCAAGCUCACAGGAGGGAGGCACACAUCUCAUCCAAUAUAAAAGCACGCUCCGAAGAAUCCCUAACCCUCCAUGGAGCCAUUGCUAGGGGGCGUCGAGAUCAACGCCACCCAUCACGACCACCGAGAUGUAGAGGGGCUUUGUGACUGAGCUGGUGAAUAAAAUGUCAGUGGUGGAAACGGACAUGUUAUAGAAGAUGUUGAGGGUGGCACCGGAGUUAAUGGCCAAAUGGGGUUCCUCGGCACCGAAGAGAAGGAUGCUGCAGCGACACGUACUGGGUUCCAUUUCCAACCAGAGAAGAACUUAUGAAUGGCACUAGAAAGGAGACGAUCCUAUCCACUAUCACAAUGAAAGAAGAGAAACAAUUCCUUGCAGUCAUCUAUAAGCCUAUUCUUUAAUCCGUUCAAUUACAGAGUUUAUGAUUAUGUAAAUGGAGUAUGGGAUCUGAGAAGAAAAAAAAGUUGCAUCCGAUUCAAGGAAGAUAAUGGACAAGUGCAUUGGUAUGAACAGGUCGUCGACUUUGACAGAAAAUGCAUACAUAUUAUCAGUUUUCCUGCUGAGUUGUACUAUUAUGCUACAGAAUACACAUCAGCUAUUAUGCUACAGAAUACACAUAAUUAGUUACAGAUCAGUAGGCUACUCAUCUGUGAGUUCUUCCUUAAUGGAGGAUAUGGUAUAGGUAAUAGUGAGUGGUGUUCUAGCUUAUGCACUAUUUCCCCCUGGCCCGAGUUCCACACCAUAACAUGCCGCCGCCCCAGCCGCCGCGUCUGCCACGGCGCCGACGCCUCCCUGGCUCGCGGGACAUCCCCUCUAUAUAUUGUAAUAGACUCCCAUGAAUACAAUUGAGUUGCAUCCUAUAAUCUUCUACAUGCGUCAUCCGGUUUUAAUGGACAGGUUCCAGCAAAAAAUGUCACGCUAUAGGGAAAGCGAGUGGGAAGGGUGUGUUGUAGGGUGGAAUUCUUGUGUUGGAACAACGUGUUGGAGAUAACAUGGUGAAUAGUCCGUACAACUACAUUUCUUCCCCACAUAUGAGUUGGAUUUGGGGGAUUGCAGACGGUUGAAUUUGGGGAGUCUGCUGGGCACCCAUUUGAACACGUCCGAACGUAUGAGGAAGAAAUGAGCUUCGACUUGUUUAAUAUUGUACAAAAUAUAUUUGCUGCUAAUAAUGAGACAAGUUCUGAUUUGUAAAUGCAAUAUUCUUCCAUGUAUACAGAAUUACAGAUUGAAUGAAAUAUAAGCCAAAGUUGAAUCUCAAGCCUUAAUUUACACUAAAAAAAUAAUAUAGGUUUGAUAUAUGUGUAGAAUAGGAUAUUUUUCCUUGAGAAUCAACUAGGUGAGGUGGUCGUUAUCGACAUCCUUGUGAAAGUUCGCAUGAUCUUAGCACGAACC
Molecule: non-coding RNA, 2338 nt
Organism: Triticum urartu
Lineage: Eukaryota; Viridiplantae; Streptophyta; Magnoliopsida; Poales; Poaceae
Source: RefSeq, a predicted model, not a curated record